This 253-nucleotide ribosomal RNA is filed under the name uncultured bacterium. RNAcentral describes it as "partial 16S ribosomal RNA". It matches the Rfam family "Bacterial small subunit ribosomal RNA", at positions 524 to 776 of the family's 1533-position model. The record is from RNAcentral.
UACGUAGGGGGCAAGCGUUGUCCGGAUUUAUUGGGCGUAAAGAGCGUGUAGGCGGCCAUGUAGGUCCGUUGUGAAAACUCGAGGCUCAACCUCGAGACGCCGAUGGAAACCAUGUGGCUAGAGUCCGGAAGAGGAGAGUGGAAUUCCUGGUGUAGCGGUGAAAUGCGCAGAUAUCAGGAGGAACACCGGUGGCGAAGGCGGUGAUCUGGGCCGGCACUGACGCUGAGGAGCGAAAGCGUGGGUAGCAAACAGG